CUGAAACUGGACUGGUGGUGGAAGCCGGGCACUAACUCUUUAUCACUGGAAGGAAGUGGAAGUCCAGACUCCCCAGCAGCCUCCAUUGGUACCACCAUGGCAGGGAGCGGGGAGCUAUUCAUUACCAGCAGAUGAGGGUUAGAAGUUCAUGCUCCCUGGAUAGUCUCCACUAAACUGAAGGAAGGCAUUCAAGGAAGGGCAGCUCAUCGCCACAGGGCGGAGGUAGAAAUCCAGGCUGCCUACUUGACUUCCUGGGAGACCACCUCAGCAUGGAUGGAAAAGAGCACCUCAUCACCUCCAGGUAUUAUGGGAGAUAGGCUGGGACAGAGAAGGAAAGCCAGGAAGAAGAGACAGCAUGAGCAAAAGCAUGAAGAUCAGAAUUCAAAGAGGAUGCUGCUAAGAAACUACAGACAGAGUCUUGCUAUGUUGCCCAGUCUGGUCUCAAACUCCUGGCCUGAAGCAAUCCUACCUUGACCUCCCAAAGUGCUGGGAUUACAGGACACAGCAAGAAGGCAGCCAUCUGCAGGCCAGGAAGAGAGCUUGCCCAUGCUGGCACCCUGAUCUGGGACUUUUCCUGUCACUGGAACUGAAAAAUAAAUACAUGUUGCAUAAGCCACCCAGCCUGUGUGUUUGGUUGUGGGAGCCCAAGCUGACUAAGAGCAAGACUAUGCUGGACCAUAUAAAUGGGCAAGAUUUUAGAGCUAUCUUCAUAAAGGGAAUUGGACUACUGAGUCACCUCUUAGGGUUUAAAGUCACAUUAGCUCAAAAUUUGAAGCAGC
Molecule: long non-coding RNA, 779 nt
Filed under: Homo sapiens (human)
Lineage: Eukaryota; Metazoa; Chordata; Mammalia; Primates; Hominidae
Description: HSALNT0358043
Source: RNAcentral